This 113-nucleotide ribosomal RNA is filed under the name Pteropus alecto (black flying fox). Lineage: Eukaryota; Metazoa; Chordata; Mammalia; Chiroptera; Pteropodidae. The record is from RNAcentral.
GUCUACUGCCGUGCCACCCUGAACAAGCCCGAUGUCUCAUUUUGGAAGCUAAGCAGGGCCGGGCCUGGUUAGUACUUGGAUGGGAGACCUAGGAAGACCAGGUGCUGUAGGCA